This is a long non-coding RNA of Procambarus clarkii (red swamp crayfish), 781 nucleotides long. RefSeq lists it as uncharacterized. The record is from RefSeq and is a predicted model, not a curated record. NCBI's taxonomy places the organism in Eukaryota, Metazoa, Arthropoda, Malacostraca, Decapoda, Cambaridae.
CUUUAAUGACACACAAUAUACUCUGUUACCAACCAACACACACCACCAAUUACAGCCCUGAUAACUUUGCAAAGCUGGGCUCAGUGGCAGCUAAGUACGAUUUGAUUGUGUUUCUGACUACUGGGAGAGCGACCAAGCCUGGCCGAUGCAGCAGGAGCUCACAGCACCACUUAAUAAUGAUGAAUAAAAUAGUUACAUACAAGAGAGGAGACGCCAAAAAAUAUAAGAGACGAAAUAGAAUAGUGAUGAACUAAGAUAUUCCCACCAGAAGUACAGUACAUAAUUUAAAAAAUUUGAAAUAAAAUGUAAAAAAAAAAAAAAAAAGUUACAGAAAUCAAAGAGACUAACAUAUUUAAAGAUAAAAAAAAAAAAUACAAACCCAAAAGAAGGUGCUGGAGCAGGGACUUCCGAGUUAGCAGCACCAAAUGCGAACAAUCCACUUGAUGGAGUACUAUUAGCUUGACUCUGCAACAGAAAUUCCCAAAUGACAAACAUAAUAGUAAUGCAAUAAAGCAAAACAUACACGAGUACUCAUAAGAAGGUACAUAUACCAGCUAUGGAACUUAUCUCAACUAUGUGUGAUAAAAGUACACACCACUGCACACUACCUAGAGAUACCUGGAGAGGGUUCUGGAGUUGGUCUACAUCCCCCAAGUGCAGCCUGGGGCCAGGCUCGACUUGUGAUAACUUGGUGGACAGACUGUUCCGUGACUUCCACUCACAAAACACGAUCAUUUUAACUAGUCUUUUGUUCACAGUAUAUUAAACAUCACAUUUGGGA